This 468-nucleotide ribosomal RNA is filed under the name uncultured bacterium. Its description in RNAcentral is "partial 16S ribosomal RNA". It matches the Rfam family "Bacterial small subunit ribosomal RNA", at positions 28 to 507 of the family's 1533-position model. The record is from RNAcentral.
GACGAACGCUGGCGGCGUGCUUAACACAUGCAAGUCGAACGGAAAGGCCCUGCUUUUGUGGGGUGCUCGAGUGGCGAACGGGUGAGUAACACGUGAGUAACCUGCCCUUGACUUUGGGAUAACUUCAGGAAACUGGGGCUAAUACCGGUUAGGAGCUCCUGCUGCAUGGUGGGGGUUGGAAAGUUUCGGCGGUUGGGGAUGGACUCGCGGCUUAUCAGCUUGUUGGUGGGGUAGUGGCUUACCAAGGCUUUGACGGGUAGCCGGCCUGAGAGGGUGACCGGCCACAUUGGGACUGAGAUACGGCCCAGCCUCCUACGGGAGGCAGCAGUGGGGAAUAUUGCACAAUGGGCGGAAGCCUGAUGCAGCAACGCCGCGUGCGGGAUGACGGCCUUCGGGUUGUAAACCGCUUUCGCCUGUGACGAAGCGUGAGUGACGGUAAUGGGUAAAGAAGCACCGGCUAACUACGUG